GAUGAAGAACGUAGUGAAAUGCGAUAACUAGUGUGAAUUGCAGAAUUCCGUGAAUCAUCGAGUCUUUGAACGCACAUUGCGCCCCCUGGUAUUCCGGGGGGCAUGCCUGUCCGAGCGUCAUUGCAGCCCAUCAAGCACGGCUUGUGUGUUGGGUCGUCGUCCCCUCUCCGGGGGGGACGGGCCCCAAAGGCAGCGGCGGCACCGCGUCCGAUCCUCGAGCGUAUGGGGCUUUGUCACCCGCUCUGUAGGCCCGGCCGGCGCUUGCCGAACGCAAAUCAAUCUUUUUCCAGGUUGACCUCGGAUCAGGUAGGGAUACCCGCUGAACUUAAGCAUAUCAAUAAGCGGAGGA
This 349-nucleotide unclassified non-coding RNA is filed under the name soil metagenome. Its description in RNAcentral is "partial contains 5.8S ribosomal RNA, internal transcribed spacer 2, and large subunit ribosomal RNA". The stretch from base 1 to 120 matches the Rfam family "5.8S ribosomal RNA", at positions 35 to 154 of the family's 154-position model. The record is from RNAcentral.